RNAcentral lists this ribosomal RNA (292 nucleotides) under uncultured bacterium. RNAcentral's name for it is "partial 16S ribosomal RNA". It matches the Rfam family "Bacterial small subunit ribosomal RNA", at positions 505 to 796 of the family's 1533-position model. The record is from RNAcentral.
GUGCCAGCAGCCGCGGUAAUACAGAGGGUGCGAGCGUUGUCCGGAAUCACUGGGCGUAAAGGGCGCGUAGGUGGCGACCCAAGUCAAUGGUGAAAGCUCGCCGCUUAACGGCGAGUCGGCCACUGAUACUGGGUUGCUCGAGCACUGUAGAGGCUAAUGGAAUUCCGGGUGUAGCGGUGGAAUGCGUAGAGAUCCGGAAGAACACCGGUGGCGAAGGCGGUUAGCUGGGCAGUUGCUGACACUGAGGCGCGACAGCGUGGGGAGCAAACAGGAUUAGAUACCCCAGUAGUCC